Engraulis encrasicolus (European anchovy) is the source of this 486-nucleotide long non-coding RNA. RefSeq lists it as uncharacterized. Lineage: Eukaryota; Metazoa; Chordata; Actinopteri; Clupeiformes; Engraulidae. The record is from RefSeq and is a predicted model, not a curated record. The transcript is spliced from 3 exons.
CAACGUGCUGCAGUAAAGAGAAUACAUCCGUAGAUGGCUGGUGAAGUGCGCCCUCUCUGUACUCCUUCAUCUGCAGCAGUGUGGCGUUGUCCGGUACAGCGUCGUCACUGUUCCUUAAGGCAGGCUUACAGGCCGAACACAAAGAGCCGCCUAGUACACCCUUGAUGACGUAUCCGGCCAGAUGGUAUAGCACACAGGACUCCGCUUUUGUGGAAAUGAUUCUGCUCCUACUGCAUGAGACUGCUGCUGUUGAUGGGGAAGUGCUUUUGCCAGAAAUGGCUUAGUUGCAGGUGGUGGCUUUCUUGAGUUGCACUGAUAAGGUUGAUGCUUUCAAUGCAUUGGAAGUUCCAGCAUGUUCCAGUGAAUUCCAAUUCUUCAUGCAUUAUUGAUUUCACACACACACACACACACACACACACACACACACACACACACACACGUCUUGUCAUGUACACAGACAUGCCGUUUUAUUCAUAGUUAUUUUGU